RNAcentral lists this ribosomal RNA (253 nucleotides) under uncultured bacterium. RNAcentral describes it as "partial 16S ribosomal RNA". It matches the Rfam family "Bacterial small subunit ribosomal RNA", at positions 524 to 776 of the family's 1533-position model. The record is from RNAcentral.
UACGGAGGGGGCGAGCGUUAUUCGGAAUUACUGGGCGUAAAGGGCGCGUAGGCGGCGUGGUAAGUCACUUGUGAAAUCUCUGAGCUUAACUCAGAACGGCCAAGUGAUACUGCUGUGCUAGAGUGCAGAAGGGGCAAUCGGAAUUCUUGGUGUAGCGGUGAAAUGCGUAGAUAUCAAGAGGAAUACCUGAGGUGAAGACGGGUUGCUAGGCUGACACUGACGCCGAGGCGCGAAAGCCAGGGGAGCAAACGGG